This 1153-nucleotide long non-coding RNA is filed under the name Setaria viridis. RNAcentral's name for it is "long non-coding RNA (SVIR_LNC001554)". Lineage: Eukaryota; Viridiplantae; Streptophyta; Magnoliopsida; Poales; Poaceae. The record is from RNAcentral.
GAGAAUGGGAAAGUGGGCCACAGAGCUACCAGAACAUGUCAUUAACUUUGUUCUGAGGAGUGCCAUAAAAUCACAAGUAUUAGCAGAUUUUGUCGCAUAGUGGACACUAGUUGUUGACGGCAGUUAGCACACCAGUUUGAACCGCAAGCGCACGAAUCAGUUGUAGCUUUUCCCUUAGAGUACUCCCCCAAGGUUUAUCAAUCCGUGAAAACAAGGUCACAUGAUCUAGACUAACUAAGCAUUAAGAAACAUGAUUCGAGUUGCAAAGUGAUUGUGAAUAGGUAUGAAUAGACAUGGAUAGAUAAGAAGCAUGAGCAGAUAUGAAGAAGAGGUAACUCAUAUAGAGUAAAGCCUAAACUAUGCAUAUGUUGUAGUUCUAGCUAGAUGGCAAGCAGACACAUGGUUCUCAUUCAAAGCAUCUUUAGACCACCACCUCCGGUCUGACUCCUGAAAAUCCCCACCUUACACAACAUCAAAUCCUAUCGCGAUCCUACCUACCUAUCAGCGCAAGCAGUCUAAGGGCAUGAACAUAAAGCACAUGUCUAGCUAUUAUGAUAGAUCAGACAUGCAAUUCUAGUCACCAUGACCACAAGAACACCCUAUGCAAUCAACUACGUAAAUAGAUUGAAAUAAGCAAACUCAUAAUAGUAGAAAUCAUAAAAGGAGACAUAUAGAUCGCUAUUGAACCGGAACCAAUGUAUUACUUCACCAUGAAUGAUUGUUCAAAAGAAGAUCUCCACCGAGGCCAUACCCAUGACUUGUGAAUCCUAGCUCUAGAACUCCAGCAUGGAUCUUCCUCCCAGGGUGAUCAUGACAGCCAGAGCCUAGCCAAAGCUAGCCUCCGGACAACUGCACGGCUCUCAGCUCUCUAUAGAUGGUUGUCCCUCAAGUCCGUCGGCUUCUUCUACUUCAAAUCUGACUCUCCCUCUUGGAGGUACCUUUGGGGUCAUAUUUAUAACCUUGGGAAGCCUUGGGGUGUGCUCCACCUUCCCUUGCAUGAGCUCCUUGCUUGAGAGUUAAGAAACCUUGAUUUCUAUAAAAUCAGACUCGCCCAAAAUUUCCUUUUACGUAGUUGUUCCUUCCUGACAUCAUAUCUCCUGUGUACGGACUCCAAAUAGGGCAAACCUGGUGCCUACAUUGUGUAGCACCAAAA